Molecule: ribosomal RNA, 312 nt
Filed under: Triticum aestivum (bread wheat)
Lineage: Eukaryota; Viridiplantae; Streptophyta; Magnoliopsida; Poales; Poaceae
Description: partial small subunit ribosomal RNA
Source: RNAcentral
CCUCUCAAGUUUUGGGACGAAGCAUUCCUUACUGCUGUUCACAUUAUUAACAUGCUUCCUAGCCGUGUCAUAAAUAAUGAAACUCUGGUAGAACGUCUUCUCCACACAAAACCGGACUACACUACACUCCGUGUCUUCGGCUGUGCAUGUUGGCCAAACUUACGUCCCUACAACAAGCGCAAACUAAUGUUUCGCUCCAAGAAAUGUGCUUUCCUUGGAUAUAGUGCACAACACAAGGGUGUAAAGUGCCUUGACAUCUCCACGGGUCGUGUUUAUAUCUCACGAGACGUUGUCUUUGAUGAGACCAAGUUU